Molecule: long non-coding RNA, 1365 nt
Filed under: Homo sapiens (human)
Lineage: Eukaryota; Metazoa; Chordata; Mammalia; Primates; Hominidae
Description: HSALNT0406885
Source: RNAcentral
GUACAGAGACCACUGCCAGCCCUCUAGGUGGUCCCUGCAAAGAAAGUCCCAGCUCCCAAGGCUCCAAAUGGACAGGGCACCAUGUUGACCCCUUCGUUGGCCUCCAGUUCGCCGACUGUAACAUGUUUCAUCCAGUUCAGGACGUUUAUUUAUUUCCAACUUGCAUACAAAACAUACUGAGAAACUAAAACCAUCGUUAAAAGUGAAGACACGUUGAGACAGGUAUCUCGACCUGCCAAGUAUACAGCUAAAGCUGAGUUCAUAAAAAGGGAUGAUUUGGCCGACGGUCAUCUGCCAGAUUCUGAUGAUGAUUCAGAAGUCAGUGUGGAAGAAGAUCAGAGGGAGAGGCAGGCGCUCUUUGACUUAUCAAGCUGCUCCCUGAGGCCCAAAAGCUUCAAGUGUCAGACUUGUAAAAAGUCAUAUAUAGGGAAGUGGGGACUGGCCCAGCAUUUUAAACUUAAUCCAGGCCAUGGCCAGCUGGACCCUGAGAUGGUGCUAUCUGAGAAAGCCAAUGGGAGCACCCUCCGGGGGUGCACAGAGGAAAGGACGCUCAGCCUGACCUUCCCGAGGCUGUCCGUGCCAGCGGCUCCGCGUGAGGGAGGGGCCCGCUCCUGCUUGGUGAACUGUCACCCCUACAACUCAGCUUGCAACCAGCCCUGGCCACCACCAGUUUCCCCACACUGAGCUGAAUAUUGGACAUGCCCAUCUUAGACAUUCCAGCCCAUUCUGAAAUUCCACAUCGAUUCACCCGACAAAGUCUGAAGUUCCAGGGCAAUUUAUCUGGAAAAGCUCACCUGGAAUCAUGUGUCAUUUCAACCAACAACUGUUGAAGAGGACGUGGCAUCAAAACCAAGGUUAUCAAUUAUUUAUAAGGGUUGUGUGGUGGUUGGUCCAAGCAUCUCUCCUUCAUGCCAUCACUCCUUUCAAGAGCUGCCUCUAUUUUCUAAUUUAGCACAGGAAUUUAGAUGCCCCUAAAUAAGUAGGCAUCCAGUAUCUGCCCACACCAGUUUUAGUGAGAGUACAUAUGGAGACACUACCACCACCCCUGCUCUCCUACUGCAUACCCCACCAUGCCAAAGCAUGGUGGCUCACACCUGUAAUCCCAGUGCUUUGGGAGGCCAAAGAGGAGGAACACUUGAGGCCAGAAGUAUGAGACCAGCCUGGGCAACAUAGUGAGACCUCAUUUCUAUAAAUAAGUUAAAAAAACAAAAAAAUAGGGCAUAGUGGUGCACAUGUGUGGUCCCAGUUACUCAGCAGGCUGAGGCUGGAAGAUCACUUGAGCCCAGGAGUUUGAGGCUGCAGUGAGCUAGGAUUAUGCCACUGCACUCUAGCCUGGGCAACAGAGAGAGACCCCAUCUCUAAAAA